CCAGCCCGAAAUUGAUCGGGGAUUUAAUUUUGAAUACCAUCCCCUUCCCCACGGGGGUAUUUUUCGGGAAAAAAUCAUUCUAAUCGGGGUCGGGGGGUCGGAUCCCCGUCGGGCCGGGUUCAAAUUGCCAUCCCUAACAGAUAUGUGUAUGUAUUCCACAUGAUUAUAAGAGAAGAGGUAAAACUGAUCUCUAAGAUGUGGCUAUGGUUUUUCCCCAAAAUCUGUAAAUAUAAUACAGAUUCCAGAUUGUGGGAAUUGGUUGGACCUCAAGAUUGGACAAGUGGUGUGUCCAUGUGCUUUGUAUUAGAUGCUCAGAUGUAGAAAAUUAUAUAUAUAUAUACAGCUCUUCAUUCUAUAGUUAGGUGUCAUCUGCAACAAACUAAAAAAUCUGGGUGUAGGAGGGCUCACCACAUGGGUUCUAAUUCUAAAUCAGCUGUUGAUUUCAUAUAAGGUUCAUCAGGGGUUUAUUUUUCCUAGAUUUCACUUGGAUGGAUUGGAGCUAAGAAAUUCAAAGGUGGAGCAAUCAGCAGCUGAACAUGCACAUAAGCAACCUUUUGUCAUUGAUGUUCAGCAUCAGCAAUGCAAAAGCUCAUGUACACUCAAAGUUGCAUUUCGCUAAUUUGCAGAAUUAACCAGGACAGUAGAUUUCAGGGGGCUUUAGCAUUGGUAUCAGUACCAAUAUGCUUUCUAAUUGUGUAGGAAGGCUUUGCUAUCUUAAUGGGCACUUUCCUGAUAUAGAAUAUGCAAUACACCCUUGAUAUACUUGGCAUUCUCUAGAUGUUACCUUUUAUGGGAUCAGUAGCAGUGAACAUCCACUAUGCCUCACAAUUUUUUUAUCCACUUGCGUUUUUUGAACUUCCACGCAACAAUUUGGCUUAGAAAUGUAGUUACUUUUUGCUUGUUUAGCUAAUAUAGUUUUCAUGUGAAGAAUGGAAAUGAUAUAAACUGAAAAAUCAAUGUGCACUUUAUUUUUCUUUUGAUGGGCUUUACUCAUUUUUUAUUUGAAUUCAUUAAAUAUUGAGCUUAA
Non-coding RNA from Camellia sinensis, 1027 nucleotides. NCBI's taxonomy places the organism in Eukaryota, Viridiplantae, Streptophyta, Magnoliopsida, Ericales, Theaceae. The record is from RefSeq and is a predicted model, not a curated record.